Molecule: non-coding RNA, 107 nt
Filed under: Candidatus Kaiseribacteriota
Lineage: Bacteria
Description: Candidatus Kaiserbacteria SAM-I sequence
Rfam family: SAM riboswitch aptamer (S box leader)
About the family: The SAM riboswitch is found upstream of a number of genes which code for proteins involved in methionine or cysteine biosynthesis in Gram-positive bacteria. The SAM riboswitch acts at the level of transcription termination control. The predicted structure consists of a complex stem-loop region followed by a single stem loop terminator region.
Source: RNAcentral
GUUGUAUCAAGAGGCAGUGAGAGAUUUGGCUCUACGACCUGCCGACAACACUUGAGUCUACGGAUUCAGCAGUGUGCCAAUUCCAACCCGCUCGGGAAAGAUACUCA